GAUGAACGCUGGCGGCGUGCCUAAUACAUGCAAGUCGAGCGAACAGACGAGGAGCUUGCUUCUCUGACGUUAGCGGCGGACGGGUGAGUAACACGUGGAUAACCUACCUAUAAGACUGGGAUAACUUCGGGAAACCGGAGCUAAUACCGGAUAAUAUAUUGAACCGCAUGGUUCAAUAGUGAAAGACGGUCUUGCUGUCACUUAUAGAUGGAUCCGCGCCGCAUUAGCUAGUUGGUAAGGUAACGGCUUACCAAGGCAACGAUGCGUAGCCGACCUGAGAGGGUGAUCGGCCACACUGGAACUGAGACACGGUCCAGACUCCUACGGGAGGCAGCAGUAGGGAAUCUUCCGCAAUGGGCGAAAGCUUGACGGAGCAACGCCGCGUGAGUGAUGAGGGUCUUCGGAUCGUAAAACUCUGUUAUUAGGGAAGAACAAAUGUGUAAGUAACUAUGCACAUCUUGACGGUACCUAAUCAGAAAGCCACGGCUAACUACGUG
RNAcentral lists this ribosomal RNA (497 nucleotides) under uncultured bacterium. RNAcentral describes it as "partial 16S ribosomal RNA". It matches the Rfam family "Bacterial small subunit ribosomal RNA", at positions 28 to 507 of the family's 1533-position model. The record is from RNAcentral.